Molecule: long non-coding RNA, 931 nt
Filed under: Gossypium barbadense (sea-island cotton)
Lineage: Eukaryota; Viridiplantae; Streptophyta; Magnoliopsida; Malvales; Malvaceae
Description: long non-coding RNA (GBAR_LNC006273)
Source: RNAcentral
UUUCUUAUUCCCAUUCUCCCUUGAAAAUCCUCUAGUAGAUGCCCUCCUAACACCAUUAAAAUCCUCAUCCCCCAUCAACGCUGUGAAUCUUUAUCCUAACGGUUGUUGCCUUUGAUUGUCCUUAAUCUUUGCUGAAAAAUCCCUUCUCCCUCGCUUUGAAUGUCUAUUUUUCACCAGCAUCCAUGGCCCAAAUUCGGGUUCUUUCUCCUUGCUUCUGGAAUUGAUGGAGUCGCCGUUUGAUUUGCUUUCAUUUGACACAUCAACCACGGUUGACUGCUUACCACUAGCCAUCGUAGGAUUUGGAUCUGUUUCAACCAUUGGACACAUAUCUUUGACAUGGCCAUACUUGCCACAGUUGAAGCAAAUGGUCGGAAGGGCUUCGUAUUCAACGUGUUGGAUGGCUCUGUCAACUAAUACCUGUGAAAUCAAAGGCUUUUCUAGGUUGAUAUAAACAGCCAAGCGAGCGAAUCUCCCUCUAGUCUGAUUUUCGGUCUGUACAUCGAGCUUGACCACCUUUUCGAUGAGGCUUCCAAUGGCUUCUAUUAUUUUGCGUUGUACAGGUGACCCGAAAGAUUCAGCAAAUGGAUCUAGGCCAGCACCACACUAGGGUAAGAUUGUAAAGGACUAAAAUGCUUAGUCCACGGUUGAACCGUUAAAUACUGUCCGUAGACAAUCUAGGGACCAUACGACAAAACUCGGUUGUAAUCCUCAGCAGCCUAAAAUUUAACAAAAAAUAUCUGUUAGUAGUGUCCAUUAUACGAAAAGAGUUUAUUGGUUUCCAAAGGGACAGAAUGCGAUUAUGCAAGGCAUUGUAGCCAUUGUUAAGCCCUAAUAGUUUAACGAUAACUGUAAAUUCCAUUUCUCUUAAUAGAAGAUUCUUUAAACAAUCUGAGAAAGUGAUCGCGGGAACACCAUCAAUUGUGGUCGUGUU